UCGCUACUACCGAUUGAAUGGCUUAGUGAGCCCUCUGGACUAUUGCACAGCAUUGGAAACUUUGUUGCGCAUUUGGGAAGGAGGUCAAACUUGAUCAUUUAGAGGAAGUAA
Molecule: ribosomal RNA, 111 nt
Filed under: uncultured eukaryote
Lineage: Eukaryota
Description: partial small subunit ribosomal RNA
Source: RNAcentral